Molecule: long non-coding RNA, 1201 nt
Organism: Esox lucius (northern pike)
Lineage: Eukaryota; Metazoa; Chordata; Actinopteri; Esociformes; Esocidae
Source: Ensembl
GGAGAGGUUGUUAUUCUCCUCCACCUCCUCCCUCGUGCUGACAGGGAGAGGCCAGAUGAUCUGUUGAUUUGACUGCUGUGGUUUCUCCCUCCAAUGAGAGCCAGAUGCGUGUCUAACUGCCUGCCGUGCUCUCCUGUGGGGGGGGUAGCAGAGCCCUCAAGCAGAGGAGUUGACAUGUCCUGUAGAUUCCGCCGGUUUCCCCGUUGUCUCCCUCGCACGCUGGUCUCCGACUGCCACGCCCCCGUUGCUAAGCUGCCUAUAUGCCCCUCUCUAUGCCAUUAGGCCAAUUGUAAAGCCCUCCCCCAUCGCCAGGCCACUUGUAUGCUCCUCCCCCUUCGACAGGUCACUUGUAUGCUCCUCCCCCAUCGCCAGGUCACUUGUAUGCUUCUCCCCCUUCGACAGGUCACUUGUAUGCUUCUCCCCCAUCGCCAGGUCACUUGAAUGCCCUGUCCUGUCACCAGAACACUUAUGAUUUGUUGUACUGUUUGCUUUGUUUGUUCUGUUUAUAGUCAGUCUUCAAAUCCUACAAUUCUGUCCUCUUCCAUAUACAGAAAGCUUUAUGGAAGCUCUGACUUCAUUUGUAAUCAUGGACUGGAUAUGCUUUAUAUUUCCAUUUCAACAUCUCUGGAUAAUUGUGUGGGAAUCCAGACUGGUCUCCCAGUAUCUACCAUAGAUCAUCUUAUACAUGAAAGUGUGAAAUGAAUUAACACUGUACCCUUGCAUAAGAGUCAAUGUCACAUGAAGAGCUAGGCAGAAUAAAUCAAAACCCAAUGUCGGUUUUCAUCUCAUUUCAGACCACUCUUUUCCUCGGGUUUCAUUGCAACAAAAACUGCACACCACAGAGAAGUUGUUCAAAACUAAACAAGAGCCCCUUUUAAGAUGUUAUCUAGUAGCUUUGAUAAGUCAAUAGACUUUUGUUAAUACCUAAUGGAUUAUUUAACCUCAGAGUACAACCAUCUGGAAAGAUCAUUGCGGAAUGUGCUGUCGGUUUAGAGACUGGGUUUGUGGCAAAAAACAUUCAUAAACCUAGCAUUAAAUCAUACCUCAUCUCAUUACCAUCCUUGUUAAGCUUGUCUGGAUAUGAAACGGGUUACUUUAGGGAUAUUGGCAUUUGGUGACAUGACACCAGUAUAAAAAACCCAAGUGAAAUUGUAUGGCAAGGUUCUAGAGUAGUUGGGCUCAGUUCCUGCAGAGGGCGCAC